UAAAAGUCGUAACAAGGUUUCCGUAGGUGAACCUGCGGAAGGAUCAUUACCGUUACUCUGUGUCUUGCACACACUGUAAACCACUGUGAACUGUUCCGAGCUUGUGGGGUGGUUCUUCUUUGCAGGAGAAUCUCAAAUGCAGUUAGACAGCCGAGGCUGGCUGCUGCGGCCCCACAUGUCUGUCUCUUAUGUUUUUCAAAACACUCGUCAAUUCAUUCCAGUUGAAUAGUAUCACUCUGGCCAGUCCAGUUUGAUACACAGUUUAAACACAUGACAACUUCUAACGGUGGAUCUCUUGGCUCGUGCAUCGAUGAAGAACGUAGCCAGUUGCGAUAAGUAGUGUGAAUUGCAGAAUUCAGUGAAUCAUCGAAUCUUUGAACGCAAAUUGCGCUCUCUGGAUAUCCAGGGAGCAUGCCUGUCUGAGUGUCGUGAUAAAAACUACACACCCCUGGUGUGGCAUGUGGGUAUCGAGUUUGCAGAUUGCUCAGGCGUUCUGUACUAAACUCGUCCUGCGAAGUGCGUGAACCUGAAUGUGCUGCUGACUGCAUGUGCAUUGGGAAGGCUCAACUUGCUUCUGUCUUUCCCUCUGCGUUCUCAUGCCAGCAGUAUCAUUGUAGAUGGUGAACAAGACGGUGUCCCACCCAUGGGGCGGGCACGAUGUCAAUUUCUGAUUUUGACCUCAGAUCAGACAAGACUACCCGCUGAAUUUAAGCAUAUC
Molecule: ribosomal RNA, 718 nt
Filed under: uncultured eukaryote
Lineage: Eukaryota
Description: eukaryotic LSU rRNA
Rfam family: 5.8S ribosomal RNA (bases 276-429)
Source: RNAcentral